GCUUAACUCCAGAAACGCAUCGCACGAUCCUUCUCCAGCUACCGGCGCGAGCCAGCCCACUCCUUCUCCAGCUACCGGCGCGAGCCAGCCCGCUCCUACACCUCCGUGAUCACGGUUUCAUUCACUUCACGGAAGCCAGCUUCCUAUGAUGGAUUGCUUGCUUUUUCCUGUUUUUUCCUUUGAUGCACUUGUAUUCUGCUGGCUUGCUAUGAAGAAACUUUGCAUAUUGUAAUAUGUAUGGAUCGAUGGAACUAUGUGAUGGAUAUAUAUGUGAUGUGAAAUUUUGAUGGAUAUAUAUGUGAUGUGAUGGAACUAUGUGAUGGAUAUUUAUGUGA
This is a long non-coding RNA of Triticum aestivum (bread wheat), 335 nucleotides long. RefSeq lists it as uncharacterized. Lineage: Eukaryota; Viridiplantae; Streptophyta; Magnoliopsida; Poales; Poaceae. The transcript is spliced from 2 exons. The record is from RefSeq and is a predicted model, not a curated record.